GACGAACGCUGGCGGCGUGCUUAACACAUGCAAGUCGAACGGAAAGGCCCUGCUUUUGUGGGGUGCUCGAGUGGCGAACGGGUGAGUAACACGUGAGUAACCUGCCCUUGACUUUGGGAUAACUUCAGGAAACUGGGGCUAAUACCGGAUAGGAGCUCCUGCUGCAUGGUGGGGGUUGGAAAGUUUCGGCGGUUGGGGAUGGACUCGCGGCUUAUCAGCUUGUUGGUGGGGUAGUGGCUUACCAAGGCUUUGACGGGUAGCCGGCCUGAGAGGGUGACCGGCCACAUUGGGACUGAGAUACGGCCCAGACUCCUACGGGAGGCAGCAGUGGGGAAUAUUGCACAAUGGGCGGAAGCCUGAUGCAGCAACGCCGCGUGCGGGAUGACGGCCUUCGGGUUGCAAACCGCUUUCGCCUGUGGCGAAGCGUGAGUGACGGUAAUGGGUAAAGAAGCACCGGCUAACUACGUG
RNAcentral lists this ribosomal RNA (468 nucleotides) under uncultured bacterium. Its description in RNAcentral is "partial 16S ribosomal RNA". It matches the Rfam family "Bacterial small subunit ribosomal RNA", at positions 28 to 507 of the family's 1533-position model. The record is from RNAcentral.